This 87-nucleotide transfer RNA is filed under the name Chlamydiales bacterium. RNAcentral's name for it is "tRNA-Ser". It matches the Rfam family "tRNA". From Rfam's summary of the family: Transfer RNA (tRNA) molecules are approximately 80 nucleotides in length. Their secondary structure includes four short double-helical elements and three loops (D, anti-codon, and T loops). Lineage: Bacteria; Pseudomonadati; Chlamydiota; Chlamydiia; Chlamydiales. The record is from RNAcentral. RNAcentral also lists the same sequence under 1 other name.
GGAGGAGUGUCUGAGCGGCCGAAGGAGCACGAUUGGAAGUCGUGUAUACGUUAACGCGUAUCGUGGGUUCGAAUCCCACCUCCUCCG